RNAcentral lists this ribosomal RNA (498 nucleotides) under uncultured bacterium. Its description in RNAcentral is "partial 16S ribosomal RNA". It matches the Rfam family "Bacterial small subunit ribosomal RNA", at positions 28 to 507 of the family's 1533-position model. The record is from RNAcentral.
GACGAACGCUGGCGGCGUGCCUAAUACAUGCAAGUCGAACGAGGGCGACCGGUGCUUGCACUGGUCAAUCUAGUGGCGAACGGGUGAGUAACACGUGGGUAACCUGCCCAUCAGAGGGGGAUAACAUCCGGAAACGGAUGCUAAAACCGCAUAGGUCUUCGAACCGCAUGGUUUGAAGAGGGAAAGAGGCGCAAGCUUCUGCUGAUGGAUGGACCCGCGGUGCAUUAGCUAGUUGGUGAGGUAACGGCUCACCAAGGCCGUGAUGCAUAGCCGACCUGAGAGGGUGAUCGGCCACAUUGGGACUGAGACACGGCCCAAACUCCUACGGGAGGCAGCAGUAGGGAAUCUUCCGCAAUGGACGCAAGUCUGACGGAGCAACGCCGCGUGAGUGAAGAAGGUUUUCGGAUCGUAAAACUCUGUUGUUAGAGAAGAACAAGUGCUAGAGUAACUGUUAGCGCCUUGACGGUAGCUAACCAGAAAGCCACGGCUAACUACGUG